This 6618-nucleotide long non-coding RNA is filed under the name Triticum aestivum (bread wheat). Its description in RNAcentral is "long non-coding RNA (TAES_LNC001040)". Lineage: Eukaryota; Viridiplantae; Streptophyta; Magnoliopsida; Poales; Poaceae. The record is from RNAcentral.
UCUCUUCGCUUGUCUCUCUGCCCCUCUGCCGCGAGUGGCGUUCUGUCUCGGUCCUAUCCAAUGGCGCGACCUCCCGCCGCCAUCUCCCCCAAAAUGUCGCCAUCUCCCGCUAGGGUUUCGCUGUAAGUUCCCCCCUUCGCGCAAUCUGGUGUUCUUAUAAAUCGGUGCCCUGCUUUUAUUACGGUGGUAAGAUAUAUUUUGCCGCCUAGGAUUUAGCUUACUUUUGUGUUUCGCUCGCUAGAGCUACGCCUGUGCUCGCUAUCAUCAAAUAGUCAAUGCUGAUAAUUAUGCUGCGGUUACCAUUUCCUCGAAAUGCUGUUGCUGCGCUUGGAUAAUUCCAUGCCUAGGUGCUUAGGUGGUUGCAUUAAUGGCCUAUGUUGGUAGAGACACCCUAAUUAUCAGGAUGUUGAUCAUGGCAUGUGCUAUUAAUAAUACAGAAAGGAAUGGAGCCCCCAGACCGCUUCAUAUAUUCAAACUGAUAAAAGUUCAGUACGAACAGUGAGAUGUCCAUCCUCGGAAAUCAGAAAGGUCUUCCUUGCUAAUCGAACGGAUCAAGUGCCCUUUUACAAACUCUGGGUGUGUCCACACAAACAAAGGAUUCAGGAAACAAAAUAAAAUAAAAUAAAAUUGCAGGGCCAGUUUGAUCUUAAUUGGUGUUUGCGAAUGAUUGCUUGAUCCAACUUCAAAAAGGCUUUCAUGUUGUAUUAGUGCAUUUGUAUAUCAAAUACCUUUUUGUUCGCUAGGGAAUCAUGUGUUGAUGCACUUUUAGUGAGAUACGGGCCAGAAUGAUAUAUAGUACGAAGCGGAGACUAAUCGAUAUAUUCAGACUACCUACCUUUAUUGAGGGAUGAUGUGGAGUGACAGAGUAGGAAACAAAAACUAAAUGAGACCGUAUAGUUUCUUUAUUACUAACCUUACCGUGUGAAUUCUGGUUCUGCAAGUGCUAUGUGUUUUAACCAUGGAAAGAUUUAACUAUGUUGCUCUAGAGUCUAGAUGUUGGGCUGGUACAUUUAGCUGAAUAUUACUUAAGAAGCUAUUAGAUUGGUAGGUUUAGCUACUGAUUUGGAACCUCCCUGACCUGCAGUAGGAAGCUACCACGUGGGUAGAUUCAGCUACUGAAACCUCCACUGACCUGCACUAUAGAUUGCAUUUAACAGUGCUGUUGAACCUGCGGUUUAGAUCACGGGUUCAGGGAACUUCUUUCUUGUAAACAAAUGUAAAGGUUCAUUUACUAGUUAUCCAAUCAUUGAGAAUCAAGCUUCUCUGAUUUUGAAUAUGAAUAUGUGGUAGGUUUCGUGUAAAGGGGAGCUUGUUUGCAUGCAGACAUACAUUAUGCUGCAAUUAUGUCUCAACAAAUUUUACCCACUCACAAAACAACAUUUGGGACUACCAAUGCCAUGGCUACAGUAUCCCUCUAAACAACACUUCUGUACUUGUUAAAUUACUCGAAUGUAACUAUCCCCCAUUUUCUGGAACCAACAAUUUUCACAUCUAUGAUCCAUAACUAAAAAUGCAUUAGUAAACUGCAGGGCCAUGCUAGGAAAUCGGAAAGGUCUUCCUUGGUAUGGAUGGACCAAGUGCCCCUUCCAAACUCUGGGUGUGUCCACACGAACAAAGCAGUCAAGAAAUUUGAUAUGUCAAUUGCAGGGCCAGUUUGAUCUUAAUCGAUGUUUGCAAAUCAUUGCUUGGUCCAACUCCAAAAAGGCUUCCGUCUUCUAUGAGUUCAUUUGUAUAUGAUCCGCCUUUUUGUUCGUUAGGGAAUCAUGUUUUGAUGCACCUUUAAUGAGAUACAGGGCAUUAUGAUAUAUAGUAGGAAGCGAAGACUAAAUGAUAUAUUCAGACUACCUACCUUUGUUUGAGAGAUGCGACAGAGUGACAGAGUAGGAAGCAAAAACUUGAUGAUAUAUUCAGACGGCCUAGUUUCUUUGUUACUAACAUUACUGUGUGAAUUCUAGUUCUGCAAGUGCUAUGUGUUUUAACCAUGGAAAGAUUUAACUAUGUUGCUCUAGAGUCUAGAUUCUGGGCUCGUGCUUUUAUCUCUAUGUUAACUAAGAAGCUAUUACAUUGGUAAAUUUAGCUACUGAUCUGGAACCUCCCAUGACCUUCAGUAAGUAGCUACUACAUAAGUCGAUUCAGCUACUGAAACCUCCAGUAACCUGCAGUAUAGGUUACAUUUAACGAUGCUGUUGAACCAGCAGUAUAGAUCAUUUCUUGUAAACAAACGUAAAGGUUCAUUUACUAGUUAUCCAAUCAUUGAGAAUCAAGCUUCUCUGGUUUUGAAUCUGAAUAUGUGGUAGGUUUUGUGUAAAAGGGAGCUUGUUUGUGUGCAGACAGACAUUACGCUACACAUAGGCUGCAAUUAUCUCAACGAAUUUUCAUUCUCUUCUACUCUAUUCAGCCUGUACUACCACUCACAAAACAAUAUUUGGGACUACCAAUGCCAUGGUUACAGUAUCCGUCUAAACAACUUUUGUACUUGAUAAAUCACCCAAAUGUAACUAUCACCCGUUCUCUGGAACCAACAAUUUUCACAUCUCUGAUCCAUAACUAAAUAUGUGUUAGUAAACUGAAAUGCAUGGCUUGGUGAAAACGAUUCUUGAAUAUAGAUUCACCUGUUGAACUAGAAUUCUCAAUCUUGGACCUCUUGAUAAACAUGAAACCAAAUAGAUUUUCUAGUCUAGCUAUAUUUUGCUGUUUUUUUUUAGAAAUUUUGUUGCAUCAACCCAGUAGCUAUAAGCCUAUAAUCAUGUUUACUAGAUUGAGUAAUAAAUUAUUGAAGGAUACACACAUAUUUACUGAUUAAGUAUUUUAGCAUGUAAAAUAUGUAUACUGAUCGCAUCAGAACCGGAAAUUGUAACCAAAUACUUCAAAGAUGUUUGCAUAUUGAUCGCAGAUGCAAUUUUCUUACUGCUUCUGGAGAAGAACUUUUACCAAGUAUUAAGUAUGAACCCUUCUGUGUGUGUGAGUUAUGAUGUAAUCUAUUUACCUAGCAAAAAUAAACUUAAACGGAUGAGAGUCGUGGCUCCAAUUAUUUAUGGCCCCCCUUGCCUAAUACGUAAACCUUGGCAAAACAACAAAAUAAUAUUAACAUAUGUGGUGUCAGCACAGGUGCAUACUUCAUUGUUUAUCGUUUUCCUCUAAAAAUUGUAAUGUGGUUGGNNNNNNNNNNNNNNNNNNNNNNNNNNNNNNNNNNNNNNNNNNNNNNNNNNNNNNNNNNNNNNNNNNNNNNNNNNNNNNNNNNNNNNNNNNNNNNNNNNNNNNNNNNNNNNNNNNNNNNNNNNNNNNNNNNNNNNNNNNNNNNNNNNNNNNNNNNNNNNNNNNNNNNNNNNNNNNNNNNNNNNNNNNNNNNNNNNNNNNNNNNNNNNNNNNNNNNNNNNNNNNNNNNNNNNNNNNNNNNNNNNNNNNNNNNNNNNNNNNNNNNNNNNNNNNNCACUUUUGCACGCUUAAUUUUAUCUGGUCCAUCCUAGUUUGGAUAUUUGAGUUUAUGCUCAUGUCGUUGGAGAAACUAACAUUUGGGAAAUUCAGAUGGUAUUUUCAACAAUGAAUGGAAGAACCGUACGGAAUAUUCAGUGCUAGGGUCAGUCGAAAAAAAUAUUCAGUGCUAGGAGUUUAUGUGGUCAAUCAACUUGUAUCUACGAGACUAUUACUAUCAUGGAAACCAUCCUGAGCUAGAACUGGCUACCCAAUCGCCCGGAGACAAAAUUCUACGAUCAGAAAAUUAGUACCUCCAUUAGGCGAUCGUGAUUCUCUUUAUUGUUUUAACUAAAAUUGCUGCUCCCCAGACGAAGCACUACCUUAUUUCCAUAGUGUUCAACUCGCAGUAGUUUAUUUGGCUAAAACAGAUACACAUGGACCAAAGUUUAGGCAUGAAUAUAUGGUGGCUAUGAUAUGCAUGGAAGAUGGAACUAAGGGAGUUGAACCUUUCGGCGUCGACGUGUGCACUUGCACACUUCCUUUUGCGAACACUAUUCCCGAAAAUGCCUCCCCAGACCGGCAUAAUCACUUUGGGUAACCUACACACUGUAUUUCGUGUUCUGCAGCCAUUACUAGCACAUGAUUUUUCAGCUUCGUAGUGUCAGUGCGUUCUUAGGUGCCUUUUGGCGGAUUUCAACUAUUUUCAUUUUUGUCCAGUUCUGAAUGACUUUCACCUGAAACUCAAUACCAGGGUAUAAAUUUAGCCGAUGGUACCUGAACUAGUAGAUGUGCACUGAUUGUAGCUUUAGCUUAGAAUAUUUAUUUUAAUUUCCUGUUUACCAACCGCCCACCCUAGUAUAAUCUAGCUUUCAAUGAUGAGCAUGUUGGGGUUCUGCAGCAAGAUCUGGAUUCUUUUCCUUGUUAACUGAAAACUAGUUAUAUUGUAUCCUUUCGGUUGUUGGGCACUGAGAGUGCUGUCAGAACCUUAGUUUUAAUAUUUAUUAGCAAGUAGGUCUUAGAUUUCCUAGAAAUAGCCAGUCAUCUUGCAGGAGUGUUGAACUGAAUACAGCUGACCUUCAGUAUCUCCAGAUCAUAUGAUUCCCUCUCUUGUGUCAGAGUGGUACCUGUCAUUUCAUUAAGAACCAUGUUAGUCAUAUAGUGAGUGGAAGCUUCUUGCCUUACAAAAUCAACCUUGGUAAUUUAUUGUUUGUUUUGCCUGUCUACACCUCUAGGCACAUUCGUCAGUAUGAUUUAUCUUCAUUCAGGAUGUCACUACAUUAUCACUCUGUUCUGGAAUUCACUUGUUCUUUUGUCUAGUGAAGAGUUAUUUGCUUGUUGUGGCAACAAGGUGAUAAUGUAAACUAACUGUGAUACAUGUAAAGUCUUGCUGACCAGUACGACACCAUCAUGUUGUGCGGAGGUCGGUGGUCAAAAGAUUAUCCAGCUGAUGCUCAAAUCAUUCCAAUGUUGAGGAAAGACCAAUUUUGGUGGCCAAUAUUUGCAUCUUGCAUAUUCUUAUCGUAACUGAGCAGGACCUGCCUUUUGAGGAUCUUUUCAGUAUCAGACCAUGAGGCUUCAUCAUUGUCCGUGCUGAUCUUCUUUACAAAAUUUACCUGGACCUCAUGAUUCACAUAUCUCUUUUCAAAGUUUACGCACGAACAAGGUGACAGAUCUAAAGUAUGUAAGGCAUGUGAGGGUCUGUUAAUGUAGCGCAAUACGAUAAGAUAAUGCAUGUGAUUCCUAGCAUCUGUUUAGCAGGCAGGCCUACUUGGCCUAUUGUAUAGUACAUAAGCAGUACUCUUUGUUUUCUUAAUUGGUCAAGUGCAGACUUAAACAAGAGAUUGAUCUCACUGGAGUGUGUGACCUUGGGUGGAGGGCUGGGGCCAAGGGGUUUCUUCAUAAACAAUACCAUGUCCACGUGAUAACCUGUAGGCGUUUUCUACUAAUUGGAUCCAGCUACAUGUGCCCCGUGAGACAUGCUGCCAUCAAGAUACGCCCGGAUCAUCACCAACUAGCUGGUUCUGAUUGGAGAUUUGAUAUUUUAUAUUGUUUUCUCAUCGUACUUAUGUGUAAAAUGGUCAUUUGGGAGUAGCUUACCCUGCAAUUGGUAUUCUAGGCAAGCUGUAUGAUGGUAGUUACGCUCAGAGCAGCAGCACCUAAUGAUCCAGCAUUAUUGUACUACUGCCAGUGGAUCUUGUGAAUUGAAUAUUCCUGAGACAAAGAGAACUUUUAGUGCAUGUAUAUGCUGUGACUGGCUGGCUAAUCAGAUCGUUAUCAGGCUAAUAGGAUCUUUAUUAACCAGCUCGUGCAUGUCCGAUGUCAUUAGUUCGUCAUUACCAAAUUAUCUUACAAUACAAGAUGUGUUUCUGCUAUUAUUAAGUUUCACACUAGUAUGCUAGAUCUCUUGAGCUCUUAAAUGGCGUGCAUUAUCAUUGCUGAUGGGCAAAUUGUGGCAUAUUGCAUUGGAGGGAGUACCUGCUUAUAAUCUAAGGAUUGAAAUGAUCAAUUAUAUUGAGCUGCCUGGAAACUUUAUAUGUUCCGCUAUGAUGUUUUACUAUGUUGAUAGUUAAACUAGCCACUAGUUUGCGAAAGCUGAGACUUUGCAACUGGGAUUUACUUUGUGAGUAGAAAUUUGGGCCAAAAUGCAAUUACCCACAUGCUUACAUUUUGAGGUUUUGCUGUCAUGUUCACAUCUUAAUACUGUCUCUUAAGCUUCUAGAGGGUACGAAGGGCUAAUAUGUGUCCUACUAGCUCAGGUGUCAGGUCACUGAAGAAUAAAGCUGGCAGUUGCACUAUACUUGCUGUACUGCCUGGCUCGUUGCAUUGACUGGUCAAAUUCCCAAUGAUUCUUCUGAGUUGUCCAGCAACUCUUUUCCUGGAAGGGCAGAUUCAUUCUACUAUGAUCUGUAUGUAGGGGUGCAUUUUGCAAACAUAUUUGGUGCCAUAUAUAGUCCAAUGCAUCUACUCUUGUUCCUUACAGAGCUAAAUGUUGUGGCUGAUACAUGGGAGUGUUUUUCCCAUAAUACAGUCAUCAAGUAAAACUAUGUUGCAAACUGUGUAAGCCUACAUGUAUUGAUACAUUCCCGAGAGUUUGUUGGGAGCUGAAAGGGCAUACAUGAUUCAGAUAUGCUAAUUGGUCAUGCUUAAUAUAUUGGAAAUCUCAAAUUUGCAGAAGGCAUUAUUGUUUUGUUUUAGAUCCUCAGC